GGUCUUGACAUCCCGGAGACCCUUAGGAAACUAGGGGGUGGCUUUCCAUCUGGAAGAAUCUGGAGACAGGUGCUGCAUGGCUGUCGUCAGCUCGUGUCGUGAGAUGUUGGGUUAAGUCCCGCAACGAGCGCAACCCUUGCCUUUAGUUGCCAGCAGUUCGGCUGGGCACUCUAAAGGGACUGCCGGUGUUAAACCGGAGGAAGGUGGGGAGUGACGUCAAGUCCUCAUGGCCUUUAUGACCAGGGCUACACGCGUACUACAAUGGCCGAUACAAAGGGCAGCGACACUGCGAGGUGAAGCCAAUCCCGUAAAAUCGGUCUCAGUCCGGAUUGGAGUCUGCAACUCGACUCCAUGAAGUUGGAAUCGCUAGUAAUCGUGGAUCAGCAUGCCACGGUGAAUACGUUCCCGGGCCUU
RNAcentral lists this ribosomal RNA (414 nucleotides) under uncultured Desulfobulbus sp. RNAcentral's name for it is "bacterial SSU rRNA". It matches the Rfam family "Bacterial small subunit ribosomal RNA", at positions 977 to 1382 of the family's 1533-position model. The record is from RNAcentral. Lineage: Bacteria; Pseudomonadati; Thermodesulfobacteriota; Desulfobulbia; Desulfobulbales; Desulfobulbaceae.